Molecule: non-coding RNA, 100 nt
Organism: Methanosarcina barkeri str. Fusaro
Lineage: Archaea; Methanobacteriati; Methanobacteriota; Methanomicrobia; Methanosarcinales; Methanosarcinaceae
Source: Rfam
UAGGGCCCAGAGACCUCCCUGUCCGCUCAGGGAAAUAUUUCCGCUGACUGCGCCGGCGGAAUGACCUGCACGGACAGCCACGAGGUCUCGCAACUAAACG